UUGCCCAAUAUAGGCCCAAAAUUCAAAGAGAAGUGAAAUUUCAUUAGAUGAUAAUUAAUUAGGAAAUUAGGAAAGUUAUGGUAACUCUUCAGCUCCCAUCUUCUCUACUCAUCCACUUCAUCUCCUUUCUUCUCCCCUAAUUGUUUUCUUCCCAAGUUUUCUUCUCCCUAAUUUUACUAGCUCAACUAUUCUUUAUUUUCGAAGUACACAAGUUGAUCCAUUCGAAGAGUUCGUUAUCUCUGAUGUAGAGCAACUACAUAUUCGAUUUUAGAGGUUUGGAGCUUUGCAUGUUAGCUCAAAGUCAUCAUCGAUGUCUUCACUAUCUCUCUUGCUAUGGUUUGUUUGUUUAGCAACAAAUCCGCAGCUGACUGAAGACAAAAAAGUGCUCGAGCGUGUUGCUCUUAGUCAGAUCCCUGAUUUCCGAAGUGGGUUCUCUAGAGAUUCAAGUUUUUUAGGAUUAUCAACCAGAAGUACAAGGCCUAGGGUUUUGGGUUUCAGCUAAAAGAGAAUUUUAGGAUAAUCACCAUACAUAUGAGAAAACAAACGAAAAAGUUUCAAUUACAAUGUGAAGCAAAGUUUCUGAACCUGAACAAGACCAGAAUUCUGCAAAUUGAUGGCACCAGGUGGACAUGUUUUUAAGCAAACUACACUUACAGGGGAAACAAUUCAAGAUACUCAAUCACUAGAUGAAUCAAAUAACCAUACUCCUGCUAUGAAUACAAAUGAUUCCACUAGAAUCAGGAACGGUCGUGGCAAGACUAGAGGGAAAGGUCUUGAAAAAAUGAAGAAGGCUCAAUGAAGAAAGAUGAAAAUAGAAAUCCUAGUUGGUAAAGGAAGGCCAACUAAACCAGAUCAAUCGGCAAAACUAUCCAAUGAGCUAGGGAUAAUUGCUCGGAAUUUUCUUUUGCUUCCAAACAAGUGGAAAGAACUCACAAGAGAGGACAAAGAUGCGGGACUAAUUAGAUGCCAUGAGAGGUUUGAAAUUAAUUUGGAUGAGCAUUAUGUGAAAAAUAGUUGUGAGGAUAUUCUGAAAAACAAAAGCCGACAAUGGUGCUACAAGUUAAAAUAACUAUUUGAAAAUGCACGCUCUGAGGAAGAAGCUCAUAAGAUUGAAGUGCCAGAGUUGACCCCAGAAAAUUGGAAUAGGCUUUGUGACAUGUGGAUCAAUCCAGAGCAAAAGAAACGAUGCGACAUAAACAAGGCCAAUUGAACUAAGCUUAAGUGUUAUUAUUUCAUGGGGUCAAAAGAGUUUGUAGCGGCUCGUGCUGAAUUUGUAAGUUAUACCAUUUUUAUUGUUUUGACUAAUGAAACUUUAGUAUUAUUUCAAUUGUUUCUUAUUUCACAAGGUAAAACUAACCCUGAAGGAGUAGAGCCUAACAGAAUCUAGUUCUAUAAGCAUACUCAUUACACGAGUGAGAAAGGAUGGUCAUCUUUAGAGGCUGGGACUCCUUAUAACAACAUUACAGAUUUGAAAGAUCUAUAUACAUCGAGAGAGUCUUCCAUGACUAUUGAUGAAAUUGUGGAUACUAUACUUGGUACAAAGUCGGGGUACAUAAAAGGACUUGGUUAUGGUCCAAAACCUAAUACUACAAGAUCUACACAAAGGAGAACGGCAGAGUUAGAAGACUCCCUCAAAAAGGCGAAACAAGAAGUUGUUAGUGCCCAACUUGAAUUACAAAAUCGAUUAAAUGCUGUUGAAACUGUGGUAGAUAAUCUGCAAUCUCAAAUACAAGACCAGCAAUCUCAAAUACAAUCAUUAAAUUUUCAAUUGAAUACUAUAGUGGCACACUAAGAGGAAAUGUUUAGAAAAAUGCAACUUCUUUCUUGCUCAUCGCC
Solanum stenotomum is the source of this 1836-nucleotide long non-coding RNA. RefSeq lists it as uncharacterized. The record is from RefSeq and is a predicted model, not a curated record. The transcript has 7 exons. Lineage: Eukaryota; Viridiplantae; Streptophyta; Magnoliopsida; Solanales; Solanaceae.